Molecule: ribosomal RNA, 496 nt
Filed under: uncultured bacterium
Lineage: Bacteria
Description: partial 16S ribosomal RNA
Rfam family: Bacterial small subunit ribosomal RNA
Source: RNAcentral
AUGAACGCUGGCGGCGUGCCUAAUACAUGCAAGUCGAGCGAACAGACGAGGAGCUUGCUCCUCUGACGUUAGCGGCGGACGGGUGAGUAACACGUGGAUAACCUACCUAUAAGACUGGGAUAACUUCGGGAAACCGGAGCUAAUACCGGAUAAUAUAUUGAACCGCAUGGUUCAAUAGUGAAAGACGGUUUUGCUGUCACUUAUAGAUGUAUCCGCGCCGCAUUAGCUAGUUGGUAAGGUAACGGCUUACCAAGGCAACGAUGCGUAGCCGACCUGAGAGGGUGAUCGGCCACACUGGAACUGAGACACGGUCCAGACUCCUACGGGAGGCAGCAGUAGGGAAUCUUCCGCAAUGGGCGAAAGCCUGACGGAGCAACGCCGCGUGAGUGAUGAAGGUCUUCGGAUCGUAAAACUCUGUUAUUAGGGAAGAACAAAUGUGUAAGUAACUAUGCACGUCUUGACGGUACCUAAUCAGAAAGCCACGGCUAACUACGUG